RNAcentral lists this long non-coding RNA (2234 nucleotides) under Homo sapiens (human). RNAcentral describes it as "HSALNT0067525". The record is from RNAcentral. Lineage: Eukaryota; Metazoa; Chordata; Mammalia; Primates; Hominidae.
ACCCUGCCCCUGAAGCAGACCCUAGAGAAGAUUAGAAGUCGAUUCACCGGGGAGGCGACCCAUAGCAGGGACCCGGUAGACCCUGGAGUGGGCAGGGUCUGUUGGUGAAAGAGGAAGGAGAAAAACGGUUAAUUGGAAAAGCUUGGAUUUUGAGAAUUCAAGAUCAUGGAAAACUGCCAGAAGGAAAUGGGUCUUCUCCUCUCCCAAAUGGUCCCAUAACUAGUCUGGCCACCUUGAGCCAUCCAAGAGGAGAAUGUGGUCAGGGACCGUGACUCAGCUUAAGAAGCUACAUUUAUAUCUAUAUCUACACACAUGUUCUACCGACUAUGACCACACCACCAUGGCCCAUGCCCAUACACCCACGUGUGAACCAAGAGGCAGGUAAUGUGCCGAUGACGACGUCUACAAGGUUUGAGGGAGGCACCUCUCAAAACCGAAUCAUCAUGCUUGCAAACUACAAAAGACUCUUUCUUGGUACUUUUCUUGUUUGAAAGUACCUACAUUUUGGGGCUCAAGACUCAGAAAGUCAGAGUGGAGAGUUGGGUGCCAUGCUCCAUUCUGCUUUUCCUGAAGUGCCUCAAAUGCUAGGCAGAGUCCCUGCACUCUCCGUGAUAGGAAUCUCCUCUGUGGCCAAAAUUGGGCCUCCGUUUUUUUCACCGCAGGAAUAUACAUGUCCUCAUGGCCGUCUCCUGCCUGGGCAGCAGCGAAGCCUCCCCAGACUGCUCUGCCCUGUGGAAGAAAAGGCCUAGGUCCUGCUGUUUUCCCAGUCUCCUUUCCUGGGAGGUGGCCAUGACUCGCUCCCAUUAACCUGGGCAGAGGCUGUUUCCCAUCUCUUCCUGCAUGAGUUACUUCAUGGAGCCUCGGAGGAGGAGCCCUGGACUCUGCUCGCCUGGGAUUCCUGCUGUUCUACCCACUGUCCACCCAGAAGCUCCCUUCCCCGGGUCUGACAUGACUUUCUCUUCUGAGCCAGGCCCAGCAGGAAGGAUGCGUUUGUGUUCGGCCCUGCAUUCCUGCAGUGUCCCUCGGGUGUGUGGCUGGAAAUGAUUUGUGUAAGGCACUCAGCCAGCCUCCCUUUUAAUCACUCCCAUACUCACAGACAGAGGGAAUCCCAGCCCCUCACCCAGGAGAGGGAAGGAACCUCCUUCAUUUUGACAGGGCCUCCCUCCGUGGUGGGGUAAGCAGUGAUUCUGGUCUCCAGGAAAGAUGCUUCCAAGAGCCUCUUUCUCUGAGGCCUAAUUAUGAAAUCGAUAUCUUCAGGAACCCCUCCUCCUUCCCUGGAGCUUCUGCAGGCAGACACUGCCCAGAUAAUGUUCAAACAUGCAUUGACCCGGCAGGGCUUCCUGAGCACCACUCUGGCUGGGGAGGAGGAUGGGAUCAGCUGGGCCUGGAAGAAUGGGCAGGGUUUGCUUAGGACGUUUCGGGGAGGCAGAUGGUGUAAGCUGGGGAUGGGGUGAGGAAGGGAGAGAGUUAGGGGCAGCUUGAGGGAAAUAGGGGUGUUUGUUGGGGAAGAGUGAGUGAUGACUGGUCAGAGUCCCAACAGCAAACAGAGGACACAAUUAAAAUGGGAUAGUUCCAGGAUAGUUUAUUUGCAUAGGUGUGAUCACAGGGAAACCACAAAGAAUAGUGCAGUUAACUGGUCUUAGUAAGAGCCAAGGUGUUAUCACCUCUAGGCACAAAGAGACAAAGACCAGAACAGAGAGUCCUGCAGAGCAACUUGACUUGGAAGGAACAGAAGACUUCAGUCCAGGGGCACAGUAAGCUGGAGGCAACCUUGCAGGGAGAGACCCAGGCAGAGCUGGAUUUGUAGUGACGCUGGCGAAGUUUAAGCUUCAGGAUCCCACGCUUGCACAGAUUGGGUUCCCUGGAGGCUGACCAUGAAAUGGAAAGUUGUGGGCCGGAGGCUUACCGUGGAGUGCUCUCAGGAGACAUAUGUGUGAGGAAAUGAGGAUGGCAGGAUUGGGAGAAGCUGAUCAGAAAUAUGGCCUCAGCCAAUCUGAUAUCCCCAGCAGCUGAAGGAUGGCUGUGUUGGCCUGAAGAGGGGAUCUGUGCGGUGGCCACAGCUCCCUCCACAGAUGAUAACGUAGGUCUCAUGAUACAUCACUACAAUGGGGACACCAAAGACAAACUGACUUCUCAUGUACAUCACUGCAAUGGGGACACCAAAGACAAAUGGACUUCUCAUGAUACAUCACUACAAUGGGGACACCAAAGACAAACUGACUUAUAAGUGUCAU